GACGAACGCUGGCGGCGUGCUUAACACAUGCAAGUCGAACGGUGAAUCUCCUUCCUUUUUUGUUGGUGUGGAUGAUUUGCGAACGGGUGAGUAACACGUGAGUAACCUGCCCCCUUCUUCUGGAUAGCCUCAUUAAAGUGUGGCUAAUACAGUAUCUUCUGAGUCUGUUUCAUGAUGGGUCUUUGAUUGAUAUUUUUUCUUUGGGGGCUGGGCUCUCGGCCUAUCAGCUUGUUGGUGGUGUGAUGGCAUACCAAGGCGGUGACGGGUAGCCGGCCUGAGAGGGUGGACGGUCAGAGUGGGACUGAGACACGGGACAGACUCAGAAGGGAGGCAGAAGUGGGGAAUAUUGAACAAUGGGCGCAAGCCUGAGGAAGCGAGGCCGCGUGAGGGAGGGAGGCCUUCGGUAUGUGAACCUCUUAAGCGAGUGAAGCAGGCCUGACUCGUUUGUGGGUGGGUUGACGGUAGCUGGAUAAGAAGCGCCGGCUAACUACGUG
RNAcentral lists this ribosomal RNA (494 nucleotides) under uncultured bacterium. RNAcentral describes it as "partial 16S ribosomal RNA". It matches the Rfam family "Bacterial small subunit ribosomal RNA", at positions 28 to 507 of the family's 1533-position model. The record is from RNAcentral.